CAAAGGUUUGGUCCCAGCCUUUCUAUUGGUUUUUAGUAGGAUUACACAUGCAAGUAUCCGCGCUCCGGUGAAAAUGCCCUUCAAGUCACCCAGUGACCGAAAGGAGCGGGCAUCAAGCACACCACAUAUGUAGCUAACGACGCCUUGCCUAGCCACACCCCCACGGGUUACAGCAGUGAUAAAAAUUAAGCGAUGAACGAAAGUUUGACUUAGCCAUACUAAUACUCCAGGGUUGGUAAAUUUCGUGCCAGCCACCGCGGUCAUACGAUUAACCCUAAUCAAUAGAUGAACGGCGUAAAACGUGUUAAGGAAUCCAAUAUAAAAUAAAGUUAAAUCUGAGCUGUGCUGUAGAAAGCUCCAGCCCCGACAAAAAUAAACCACGAAGGUGACUUUAAAUAUAUCCGACCACACGAUAGCUAGGACACAAACUGGGAUUAGAUACCCCACUAUGCCUAGCCCUAAACUUAAAUAGCCAACACAACAAUGCUAUUCGCCAGAGUACUACUAGCAACAGCUUAAAACUCAAAGGACUUGGCGGUGCUUUACAUCCAUCUAGAGGAGCCUGUUCUGUAAUCGAUAAACCCCGAUAAACCUCACCAACCCUUGCUAAUUCAGCCUAUAUACCGCCAUCUUCAGCGAACCCUAAAAAGGAACCAUAGUAAGCAAAACCAUAAAACAUAAAAACGUUAGGUCAAGGUGUAGCCAAUGAGUUGGGAAGAAAUGGGCUACAUUUUCUAAUAUAGAACACCAUACGAAAAUUUCCGUGAAACCGGAAAUGGAAGGAGGAUUUAGUAGUAAACUAAGAAUAGAGAGCUUAGUUGAAUAAGGCCAUGAAGCACGCACACACCGCCCGUCACCCUCCUCAAGUAUCAAGAUACAAAUAACUAACCCUAUUAAUGAAUGUACACAAAUAUAAGAGGAGAUAAGUCGUAACAAGGUAAGCGUACUGGAAAGUGCGCUUGGACAAAU
RNAcentral lists this non-coding RNA (969 nucleotides) under Notopteris macdonaldii (long-tailed fruit bat). RNAcentral describes it as "Notopteris macdonaldi (long-tailed fruit bat) partial 12S ribosomal RNA". It matches the Rfam family "Bacterial small subunit ribosomal RNA". The record is from RNAcentral. Lineage: Eukaryota; Metazoa; Chordata; Mammalia; Chiroptera; Pteropodidae.